UACGGAGGGUGCGAGCGUUAAUCGGAAUUACUGGGCGUAAAGCGCACGCAGGCGGUCUGUUAAGCAAGAUGUGAAAGCCCCGGGCUCAACCUGGGAACUGCAUUUUGAACUGGCAGACUAGAUCUUGGAGAGGGGAGUGGAAUUCCAGGUGUAGCGGUGAAAUGCGUAGAGAUCUGGAGGAACAUCAGUGGCGAAGGCGGACUCCCUGGCCAAAGACUGACGCUCAUGUGCGAAAAGUGUGGGUAGCACGAAGG
This 254-nucleotide ribosomal RNA is filed under the name uncultured bacterium. Its description in RNAcentral is "partial 16S ribosomal RNA". It matches the Rfam family "Bacterial small subunit ribosomal RNA", at positions 524 to 776 of the family's 1533-position model. The record is from RNAcentral.